AGCAAGUCAACAACCACCCCUCCACCAUAAAAGUAAUGACAUCAAGGGGAGAGUAAAUCAAGCUAACUUCCUUACUAAAAUUAGCAAGGAAAAAACCACUCCUCCACUGUAUAAGGGAUGACACAAGUAGAGGACAUAAUCAAGGAUUCACUUUGCUAUUAUUAGCAAGAGAAGUUCGGGGCUAGAGGCUAUAAAAAGGGACUUCAUUUUCAUUCAUCAACACACCACGCCAGAGAGAGAUACACGCCACACACCAUUGAGCAUAUAUCAUUUCUUUUCUAAAGUGUUCUUGCCAUUCUCAUGGCUUGCUAAACACUUGAUUUCCUCAAAAUAGGGCAAACAUUUUUCGAAAUAAGAGCAGCUAGAAGGAUGACUUGAAGAUGCCUAGGUAAUUUAGCAUAAAUACGAGGAGGAGAGCCACCAUGGAAAGCCCCAAGGAGUAGCCGCAGGGUUACUCUAACAAAGGUAUGAAUCAAUGAUCCCAUUGACUAAUGUCGUACAUGUUGUUGCUAAUUGUAGCUAUGAUACUUACCAUGGCACCAUCAAUCAUCUAGAAUUCGAGUGCGAAGUCAACAAGAGGUUGGAAUUGAGGACUAGAAAGAAUUGAAGUUUGUCAAAGAAGUCUCCCAUUCAAUUAAAUUAGUUGUAGAUGUAACAAUAGAUGUAGAAGUAGAUGUAACAUUAACCUCUAAU
Molecule: long non-coding RNA, 693 nt
Organism: Gossypium arboreum
Lineage: Eukaryota; Viridiplantae; Streptophyta; Magnoliopsida; Malvales; Malvaceae
Exons: 2
Source: RefSeq, a predicted model, not a curated record